UACAGAGGGGGCAAGCGUUGUUCGGAAUCACUGGGCGUAAAGGGCGCGUAGGCGGGCUGGCAAGUCGGUCGUGAAAUCCUUCGGCUCAACCGAAGAACGUCGGCCGAUACUGCCGUUCUUGAGGGAUGCAGAGGAGAUUGGAAUUCCCGGUGUAGCGGUGAAAUGUGUAGAGAUCGGGAGGAACACCGGUGGCGAAGGCGGCGAUCUGGACGAUGACUGACGCUGAGACGCGAAAGCGUGGGGAGCAAACAGG
This 253-nucleotide ribosomal RNA is filed under the name uncultured bacterium. RNAcentral's name for it is "partial 16S ribosomal RNA". It matches the Rfam family "Bacterial small subunit ribosomal RNA", at positions 524 to 776 of the family's 1533-position model. The record is from RNAcentral.